RNAcentral lists this ribosomal RNA (253 nucleotides) under uncultured bacterium. RNAcentral describes it as "partial 16S ribosomal RNA". It matches the Rfam family "Bacterial small subunit ribosomal RNA", at positions 524 to 776 of the family's 1533-position model. The record is from RNAcentral.
UACAGAGGGGGCAAGCGUUGUUCGGAAUUACUGGGCGUAAAGGGCUCGUAGGCGGCCAACUAAGUCAGACGUGAAAUCCCCAGGCUCAACCUGGGAACUGCGUCUGAUACUGGAUGGCUUGAAUCCGGGAGAGGGAUGCAGAAUUCCAGGUGUAGCGGUGAAAUGCGUAGAUAUCUGGAGGAAUACCGGUGGCGAAGGCGGCAUCCUGGACCGGCAUUGACGCUGAGGAGCGAAAGCUAGGGGAGCAAACGGG